GACGAACGCUGGCGGCGUGCUUAACACAUGCAAGUCGAACGGAAAGGCCCUGCUUUUGUGGGGUGCUCGAGUGGCGAACGGGUGAGUAACACGUGAGUAACCUGCCCUUGACUUUGGGAUAACUUCAGGAAACUGGGGCUAAUACCGGAUAGGAGCUCCUGCUGCAUGGUGGGGGUUGGAAAGUUCCGGCGGUUGGGGAUGGACUCGCGGCUUAUCAGCUUGUUGGUGGGGUAGUGGCUUACCAAGGCUUUGACGGGUAGCCGGCCUGAGAGGGUGACCGGCCACAUUGGGACUGAGAUACGGCCCAGACUCCUACGGGAGGCAGCAGUGGGGAAUAUUGCACAAUGGGCGGAAGCCUGAUGCAGCAACGCCGCGUGCGGGAUGACGGCCUUCGGGUUGUAAACCGCUUCCGCCUGUGACGAAGCGUGAGUGACGGUAAUGGGUAAAGAAGCACCGGCUAACUACGUGCCAGCAGCCGCGGUGAUACGUAGGGUGCGAGCGUUGUCCGGAUUUAUUGGGCAUAAAGGGCUCGUAGGUGGUUGAUCGCGUCGGAAGUGUAAUCUUGGGGCUUAACCCUGAGCGUGCUUUCGAUACGGGUUGACUUGAGGAAGGUAGGGGAGAAUGGAAUUCCUGGUGGAGCGGUGGAAUGCGCAGAUAUCAGGAGGAACACCAGUGGCGAAGGCGGUUCUCUGGGCCUUUCCUGACGCUGAGGAGCGAAAGCGUGGGGAGCGAACAGGCUUAGAUACCCUGGUAGUCCACGCUGUAAACGGUGGGUACUAGGUGUGGGGUCCAUUCCACGGGUUCCGUGCCGUAGCUAACGCUUUAAGUACCCCGCCUGGGGAGUACGGCCGCAAGGCUAAAACUCAAAGGAAUUGACGGGGCCCCGCACAAGCGGCGGAGCAUGCGGAUUAAUUCGAUGCAACGCGUAGAACCUUACCUGGGUUUGACAUGGAUCGGGAGUGCUCAGAGAUGGGUGUGCCUCUUUUGGGGUCGGUUCACAGGUGGUGCAUGGCUGUCGUCAGCUCGUGUCGUGAGAUGUUGGGUUAAGUCCCGCAACGAGCGCAACCCUUGUUCACUGUUGCCAGCACGUUAUGGUGGGGACUCAGUGGAGACCGCCGGGGUCAACUCGGAGGAAGGUGGGGAUGACGUCAAGUCAUCAUGCCCCUUAUGUCCAGGGCUUCACGCAUGCUACAAUGGCUGGUACAGAGAGUGGCGAGCCUGUGAGGGUGAGCGAAUCUCGGAAAGCCGGUCUCAGUUCGGAUUGGGGUCUGCAACUCGACCUCAUGAAGUCGGAGUCGCUAGUAAUCGCAGAUCAGCAACGCUGCGGUGAAUACGUUCCCGGGGCU
RNAcentral lists this ribosomal RNA (1346 nucleotides) under uncultured bacterium. RNAcentral's name for it is "partial 16S ribosomal RNA". It matches the Rfam family "Bacterial small subunit ribosomal RNA", at positions 28 to 1381 of the family's 1533-position model. The record is from RNAcentral.